RNAcentral lists this ribosomal RNA (426 nucleotides) under Prochelator sp. VTDes125. RNAcentral's name for it is "partial 16S ribosomal RNA". The record is from RNAcentral. Lineage: Eukaryota; Metazoa; Arthropoda; Malacostraca; Isopoda; Desmosomatidae.
UGUGUUAAGGUAGCAUAAUAAUUUGUUUUUUAAUUGAGAACUAGGAUAAAAGAGUUAAUAACAUUUUAAACUAUUUAAGAAUUUUUAGAGAAGUUAAUAUUCGUGUUAAAAAGCACGAUUUUUUAAAAAGACGAUAAGUCCCUAUAAAACUUUAUUUGUUUUUGGUUUUAGAACUGGGGCGUAUGCGGGCCGAUGUGAAUUGAGCUGGGGCGGCAACUAUUUAAUAACUAUAGUAAAAUUCCCGCCAGCAGGCGAACGGAAAGAACUAAGAGUCUAAAAGUUAGAAAAAGUUACUUUAGGGGUAACAGCACAAUUUUUUCUUAUAGGCCGGAUAGAAGAAAAAGACUUGUGACCUCGAUGUUGAAUUGAGGGGCCUCUUUUAAGUAGCCAUAUUUUUUUUGAAAUCUGUUCGAUUUUUAAUUCCUC